Molecule: ribosomal RNA, 497 nt
Filed under: uncultured bacterium
Lineage: Bacteria
Description: partial 16S ribosomal RNA
Rfam family: Bacterial small subunit ribosomal RNA
Source: RNAcentral
GAUGAACGCUGGCGGCGUGCCUAAUACAUGCAAGUCGAGCGGACGGGCGAGAAGCUUGCUGCUCUGAUGUUAGCGGCGGACGGGUGUGUAACACGUGUAUAACCUACCUAUAAGUGGGGGAUAACUUCGGGAAACCGGGGCUAAUCCGGGAGAAUAUUUUGAACCGCAGGGGGCAAAAGUGAGAGACGGUCUUGCGGUCACUUAUAGAUGGAUCCGCGCUGGAUGAGGUAGUUGGUGAGGUAACGGGUUACCAAGGCAACGAUGCAUAGCCGAGCGGUUAGGGUGAUAGGCCACAUGGGAACUGGGACAGGCACCAGGCUACUACGGGAGGCAGCAGUAGCGAAUCGUACGCAAUGGGCGGAAGCCUGACGGAGCAACGGCGAGCGAGUGAUGAAGGUCCUCGGAUCGUAAAACCCUGUUAUUAGGGAAGAACAUAUUUGUAAGUAACUGUGCACAGCGUGACGGUAACUAAUCAGAAAGCAACGGCUAACUACGUG